Molecule: long non-coding RNA, 774 nt
Organism: Danaus plexippus (monarch butterfly)
Lineage: Eukaryota; Metazoa; Arthropoda; Insecta; Lepidoptera; Nymphalidae
Exons: 3
Source: RefSeq, a predicted model, not a curated record
CAUUUUAUUUUUUAUCAAGUCAUAAGUCCUCAAAUUUCUAAUUGGCAUUUAGUAAAAUUGACUGUUCCGAUUUCAAAAGAAAUAAUUUAUUUAGGGAAAGGAAAAAAAAAUCAUGAUGUAUUAGAUUUUUUAAACUUUUUAAGUGAUGUUAAACUACGUGCAACAUAUUAACUACGUGCACAAUAUUGUAUUCCAGUUUCAAAAAACGCAAUAUUUUAUUACAUUGUAAAUUUAGACUUAGGUGUUAAAAGGUUUACUAGUCUUUUCGGUAUUUUUGCGUUUUAAUUGACAUCUUUCUGUACAUAGACUUAAGACGGCGUAAGUUGAAUUCUCAAUCGUCACGGUUGAAUGCGAAAUCGACCCGUUGGCGGUCCGUUAGUAGAUGAGGGUAACCGUUGGGGCUUAAGGCAUCAUCCAGGACCUAUCAUGGAUAACUCCACGUACCCAUCUGACUCACACCUUGGUAAGGAGGAAAGUGAUAAACUGCUUCUCCAAGGAAUUAAAAGCAAUGUUCGGUGAAAAAACUCUAAGGUACUUUUACAAGGACUAAUAGUGAAGAGAAGUGCUGUCUUGAUCGUUUGAGCACAUUAAAAAUGUACGAGACUAUCCUUAUCAGCUAAAUGGUCGUGGAAUCUUAUAUUGCUUGAUGUGUCAACAAAAAGAAUUCGAAUAUAGACAAGGAUCGUAAUUUUAAAUCUGAUAUUAUUAUUCUAAUUCAAUAACAUUUUAUGUUUUAUUUUGUAACCAAUAUUUAGUUAAUACUUUUUCUAAAUC